This 293-nucleotide ribosomal RNA is filed under the name uncultured eukaryote. RNAcentral describes it as "partial 18S ribosomal RNA". It matches the Rfam family "Eukaryotic small subunit ribosomal RNA", at positions 6 to 302 of the family's 1831-position model. The record is from RNAcentral.
GGUUGAUCCUGCCAGUAGUCAUAUGCUUGUCUCAAAGAUUAAGCCAUGCAUGUCUAAGUAUAGUCCCUUAUACUGCGAAACUGCGAAUGGCUCAUUAAAUCAGUUAUAAUUUAUUUGAUGGUACUUACUACUCGGAUAACCGUAGUAAUUCUAGAGCUAAUACGUGCGCAAAUCCCGACUUCUGGAAGGGACGUAUUUAUUAGAUAAAAGGCCAGCCGGGCUUUGCCCGACCUGCGUUGAUUCAUAAUAACCAUACGAAUCGCAUGGCCUCGUGCCGGCGAUGUUUCAAAUAA